This 305-nucleotide ribosomal RNA is filed under the name uncultured bacterium. Its description in RNAcentral is "bacterial SSU rRNA". It matches the Rfam family "Bacterial small subunit ribosomal RNA", at positions 337 to 634 of the family's 1533-position model. The record is from RNAcentral.
GCCUACGGGAGGCAGCAGUAGGGAAUCUUCGGCAAUGGGCGAAAGCCUGACCGAGCAACGCCGCGUGAAUGAAGAAGGCCUUCGGGUUGUAAAAUUCUGUUAUAAGGGAAGAAAGGUGAUAGGAGGAAACGACUAUCAAUUGACGGUACCUUAUGAGAAAGCCACGGCUAACUACGUGCCAGCAGCCGCGGUAAUGCGUAGGUGGCAAGCGUUAUCCGGAUUUAUUGGGCGUAAAGGGAACGCAGGCGGUCUUUUAAGGCUGAUGUGAAAGCCUUCGGCUUAACCGGAGUAGUGCAAUGGAAACU